This 312-nucleotide ribosomal RNA is filed under the name Triticum aestivum (bread wheat). Its description in RNAcentral is "partial small subunit ribosomal RNA". Lineage: Eukaryota; Viridiplantae; Streptophyta; Magnoliopsida; Poales; Poaceae. The record is from RNAcentral.
AUGGAGUACUUCCCCCUGCCAGGUGAGACUUUGGGCGAUUGGUGCAAGAGACAGGAGGAGAGCAUGGAGCAUCGGAAGUCCAUACGGGCAUUGUGCUUAUUGGCAAUGUGGACGUUGCGGAAACAUAGGAAUGGUAUUGUGUUCGAGAAAGACACACCAUCUAUGUCAGGUGUGUUGCAGAAGAUCCAAGUGGAGGGAGCUAUCUGGGCUAAGGCAUGUUGGAAAUAUGCCCUCGAGGCAAUAAUAAAUUGGUUAUUAUUAUAUUUCCUUGUUCAUGAUAAUCGUUUAUUAUCCAUGCUAGAAUUGUAUUGA